AACGAACGCUGGCGGCGGGCUUAACACAUGCAAGUCGAGCGGAACGGCCCGGCUGCUGUGGGGUGCUCGAGUAGCCAACGGGAGAGUAACACGUGAUUAACCUACCCUUGACUUUGGGAUAACUACAGGAAACUGGGGCUAAUACCGGAUAGGAGCUCCUGCUGAAUGGUGGGGGUUGGAGAGUUUCGGCGGUUGGGGAUGGACUCGCGGCUAAUCAGCUUGUUGGUGGGGUAGUGGCUUACCAAGGCAUUGACGGGUGGCCGGCCUGAGAGGGUGACCGGACACACUGGGCCUGAGAUACGGCCCAGACUCCUACGGGAGGCAGCAGUGGGGAAUAUUGCACAGUGGGCGGAAGCCUGAUGCAGCAACGCCGCGUGCGGGAUGACGGCCUUCGGGUUGUAAACCGCUUUCGCCUGUGACGAAGCGUGAGUGACGGUAAUGGGUAAAGAAGCACCGGCUAACUACGUG
RNAcentral lists this ribosomal RNA (468 nucleotides) under uncultured bacterium. RNAcentral describes it as "partial 16S ribosomal RNA". It matches the Rfam family "Bacterial small subunit ribosomal RNA", at positions 28 to 507 of the family's 1533-position model. The record is from RNAcentral.